CAUUAGCUAGUUGGCGGGGUAACGGCCCACCAAGGCUCCGAUGGGUAGGGGUUCUGAGAGGAAGGCCCCCCACACUGGUACUGAGACACGGACCAGACUCCUACGGGAGGCAGCAGUGAGGAAUAUUGGUCAAUGGCCGGAAGGCUGAACCAGCCAAGUCGCGUGAGGGAAUAAGGCCCUACGGGUCGUAAACCUCUUUUGCCAGGGAGCAAUGCCGUCCACGUGUGGACGGAAGGAGAGUACCUGGAGAAAAAGCAUCGGCUAACUCCGUGCCAGCAGCCGCGGUAAUACGGAGGAUGCGAGCGUUAUCCGGAUUUAUUGGGUUUAAAGGGUGCGUAGGCGGCCUGCCAAGUCAGCGGUAAAAUUGCGGGGCUCAACCCCGUACAGCCGUUGAAACUGCCGGGCUCGAGUGGGCGAGAAGUAUGCGGAAUGCGUGGUGUAGCGGUGAAAUGCAUAGAUAUCACGCAGAACCCCGAUUGCGAAGGCAGCAUACCGGCGCCCGACUGACGCUGAGGCACGAAAGUGCGGGGAUCAAACAGGAUUAGAUACCCUGGUAGUCCGCACAGUAAACGAUGAAUGCUA
RNAcentral lists this ribosomal RNA (582 nucleotides) under uncultured bacterium. Its description in RNAcentral is "bacterial SSU rRNA". It matches the Rfam family "Bacterial small subunit ribosomal RNA", at positions 239 to 818 of the family's 1533-position model. The record is from RNAcentral.